UACGGAGGGUGCGAGCGUUGUCCGGAAUCACUGGGCGUAAAGGGCGCGUAGGCGGCCUGAUAAGUAGGGGGUGAAAUCCUGCGGCUUAACCGCAGGGCUGCCUUCUAAACUGUCAGGCUUGAGCACAGUAGAGGCAGGUGGAAUUCCCGGUGUAGCGGUGGAAUGCGUAGAGAUCGGGAAGAACAUCAGUGGCGAAGGCGGCCUGCUGGGCUGUUGCUGACGCUGAGGCGCGACAGCGUGGGGAGCAAGCAGG
RNAcentral lists this ribosomal RNA (253 nucleotides) under uncultured bacterium. Its description in RNAcentral is "partial 16S ribosomal RNA". It matches the Rfam family "Bacterial small subunit ribosomal RNA", at positions 524 to 776 of the family's 1533-position model. The record is from RNAcentral.